This 490-nucleotide ribosomal RNA is filed under the name uncultured bacterium. Its description in RNAcentral is "bacterial SSU rRNA". It matches the Rfam family "Bacterial small subunit ribosomal RNA", at positions 28 to 519 of the family's 1533-position model. The record is from RNAcentral.
GAUGAACGCUGGCGGCGUGCUUAACACAUGCAAGUCGAACGAGCUUUAUUGUUACGAUCCCUUCGGGGUGACGACUUUAAAGCGAGUGGCGGACGGGUGAGUAACGCGUGGAUAACCUGCCAUACACUGGGGGAUAACAGCUGGAAACAGCUGCUAAUACCGCAUAAAACUGUAUAGUCGCAUGACUUUAUAGCCAAAGCUCCGGCUGUGUAUGAUGGAUCCGCGUCUGAUUAGAUAGUUGGUGAGGUAACGGCCCACCAAGUCAACGAUCAGUAGCCGGCCUGAGAGGGUGAACGGCCACAUUGGGACUGAGACACGGCCCAAACUCCUACGGGAGGCAGCAGUGGGGAAUAUUGGACAAUGGGGGAAACCCUGAUCCAGCGACGCCGCGUGAGUGAAGAAGUAUUUCGGUAUGUAAAGCUCUAUCAGCAGGAAAGAAAAUGACGGUACCUGACUAAGAAGCCCGGCUAACUACGUGCCAGCAGCCGCG